UUCACACGUGUGGUUAAAGUAUCGUCAGCUGUGUCUGUAGUGAAAAUGUGGAGUGCUUAGAUUCGUCAUUUACAACAACUACAACAAUAAAGGUAAAUAAUUGUACACUGAUAUUUCAUUAUCGUAAACUAUGAUUGAUUGAUUAAUUGUUAGAUUGACACAAAAGUUGAGAAACUAAGUUUAUAGGUUAUGUCAUACUAUUGAUAAAUGUUGAUAGUGUUAAGUAAAUUAUUAGUUUAAAAUUAAUUAAUUAAUUAAUUAUUAUUUUACAAAUUUUAAAUAGUUUCAAAUUUAUUUAGCAAAAAUUUGAACCUUCGAUCUGAAUAAAUGUUUUGAUUUUCGAAUUGAUUCUUUAAAAUUACAAAUAUUAAGAAAAAGUGGCAGAUAUAAGAAAACUUUAUUUAAACUGUGUUGAGCAAGAAUUUUAACAUCUAAUUUAAGUAAAUGUUUUAAUUUUCAACUUCAUCAUUUACAAUUACAAAUUUUAUUUAAUUUCAAAUUUAUUUAGCAAAAAUUUGAACCUUCGAUCUGAAUAAGUGUUUUGAUUUUCAAAUACCAACGCGGCUGGUGGAGUGGCGAUCUAUCGUAAAUUAUCAUCGACAUCUACGGCGGAAGUGUUCCAAGUUGCGAUUACAGACGUAACUCGUGUCAUUAAAACCAAGGGUGACAUGUGCAUGACUGAAGUUACUUGCUUCGCCGCUAAUACUAGCUUCAAGUUUAUACUCGGUGCUGUAUAUAUUCAUCCAGGAGCUAGUAUGCAGGAUAUUGGAAUGUUACUAUGGCAAGGACUCGGUCCGUACAUUCACAACAGCCAGUACGUGCCACCGUUCGUGCAAGUUGAUUCUAGUAUACCGAUUCUUCUGUGUGGUGAUUUUAACAAAAACGUAAAGCCUGACAACUCGUUUCUUAAUUUCAUGAAAAAUACGUAUAAUCUUGAUUGCGUAUCAAACGUUUCUAAGUCAACUACGUUAAAAGGAACAACUAUCGACUUGACUUUCGCAAGACACAUUACAGCAGAAACACUUCCUUUCAUUUCAUAUUUCUCCUAUCAUCGUCCUAUCCUCAACAAAAUCACUCAAAUAGGAAUUAGUUAAGUUUACAUGUACAAUGUUUUAGUAAACAAAAUAUAUUUCUAUAGUUAAAAUUUGUGCAAUUCUUAUUUUCAUUCAAUUCCUUGUUCCUAUUGUGCAAUUUAAUUAUAUUCAUAUCAAUAAAUAUUCUACCGUUGUCACGUAAAAUCUUCGCCCGUAAAACCGACUUUACAGGUAACCAUUGUUUUUUUUAAUGAACCUAUAGUAAUAGAAUUGCUUUGAGAGAUUUCUUUUAAACCCUUUGAGAUUGCUUGCUAUUGAAUCAGAUGAAUGAGGAAUACUACAUAUUGAUUUGUAAACUGGGGGUUUAUUCUCUCAGAUGGGUUGUGAAAAUGUAUCAAAAUUAAUAAGUGAUUUCCAAGUUUUGACAUUUGCUGAAAUACUAUUUAAUGUGUGUAACUUGUACCUGAUAGGGCAGUAGGAGGAGAACUGACUGUAGUUAAAACACCAAUUUAUUGAAUUCAAUAGCAAGUUCAGGGAAUAUAAGAAACUGAGUUUAAUACAAUAGUGAUGCGGUCUGGAGGUUAAAAUGGCGAAACUGUUAGGAGACUUCACCAUUGAUGAGCCAUUCCGUCCCUCUUUCAAUUUUUAUUCAUUGCAGAAUAAGAGCUGUAGAAAUAGUAAUCAUAUAUAAAUUGGAAGAAUAGUAGCGCUAAAAAGGUUUAUAAUUUUUAUCGAUAUUUGGCGCUAGGUGGAUGAUGUAUUAAAUAGUAUCUUUCAUAAAAAUCUCGAAAUCAUAAGGCGAAAGAUUUUUUUUUUUAAUUUAAACCUUUCGCGCCUUACGAUUUCGUAAAAAAAAAAAAUGCUCAAUUGGCCUCCGAUUCUUGCAAAAGUCCAAUCCCAUCAGCGAGUGCAAGUAACCAAACGGGGCUCUGGCACAUUUGUAAGUGCAAAGUCGAACUGCUUUUCACAUGUGUAGACAUGUGGUGCACUUACAGUAAAAGCAGUCGCUAACUACCCACCAUGAUUAUCAUGGCCUGUACCAUGUGUACUUGGAAUAAACAAAAAAAAAAACCGAUUUCGUGCUUUAAAAAAAAAAUCCAGGUGAAUAUAUAACCUGAGUAUCUAUCAUAGUUAUCAUGACUCUUCAUUGGAUGGUUCAGCAUCACAAAAUACUUGUCUAAUGCCUCUUUUCUCUACUCCUAUUUGUGUUCAUCCCUUCUCUUACAACUUCAAAUAUCCUCACGUAUCAUGUUUGUCAUGUGUGAAUGGAAGUAAUCAAAACGAAGUGCAACACGAGUACUGUGGCCUUUCUGCCAUAUAUUUUAUAUGUUCUACUCAAUUCCCUUUUUUAUUUUCUUGGUUCAGCCUGAAAGUCUGAAAGCGUUUAUAUAUAUUAUAUAUAUUGUCGCGGAGAUAAAUAAAGCAAGGGCAAAUUUGGGAAUCAUAAAUUUAUUAUAAAGGUAGGUAUUUACCUUCUAGUUCUCCAAUAUAAUUAUCUAAAAGAGGUAUUUAUAGGGAGAGAGAGGGUCAGAUAAUAAUAAUACAACUUAUCCCAAGGUAAAUAUAAUAAUAUUGAGCGUCGUCAGCUACCGUCCUGUUUUCCUUAUUUGCAGAUAAGUUACCGAGAACCCCUCACACCUGUGGUUAUCCCCGGAGUCCAGGGAUGAUUGACAGGUGUCCCAUCUAGAUAGAGCUUCUUGACAAUAUUUUACCUCCUAACCUGGUAUAUAUAUGAAGAAGUAGAUGAUAAUUGGGAUGAGGUAUUCAGCGUCCAUUUGUUUUUGAAAGUCUGCACCACAUGUCUUCAGAUGUAAGGGAGAAAGCAAAUUUUAUCUAAAUAUUCUUAAAAAUAAUUACAAAAGUCUAAUCACAAUAUACCAAUUGCAAUAGGUUUAUUAAGUUAAAAUGGCAAGUGUUAGACCAAUUAGGCCACCAUUAGGCCAAUUGUUUCGCAAAUACCUACAAUUUAUAUAAAAGAGUCUAGAAUUUGUUUCUUUUAUGAUGUAUCUUUAUUUCUUAGUCUACUCCAUAUCAAUAGACCAUCUGAAGGACAUUAAGUCAAAGUUCGAUCGAUGCUAUAGACUUUAUUCCAGCUCUGUCUCACAAUGAUGAUUUUAUAUUUGAAGAUGGAAUCUACCAACAGAUUUGUGGUUCCCCCAAAGGGAGCCCAUUAUCAAUAACAGCUGCAUAGAUAGUCAAGACACUUAGCCCUGGAAUCUUUAUUCAUUUUAUAGAUGGUCAUGUUGAAAUUAUUAUUAUUAUUUUUUUUAUCCCAAGUACACGUGGUACAGGCCAUGAUAAUCAUGGUGGGUAGAAGUAGGCGACUGCUUUUACUGUAAGUGCACCACAUGUCUAUACACGUGGAAAGCAGUUCGACUUUGCACUUACAAAUGUGCCAGAACCCCGUUUGGUUACUUGCACUCGCUGGUGGGGUUAGACUUUUGCAAGAAUCAGGGGCCAUUGGGGCAUUUUUUAAAAUUUAUAUAUAUGGAUCAAUAGCUUUGAAGAAAUGAUACUGUGGUACUUCAAUGAUUUUUUAAAAAUUAAACAUAGAUAAAGAUAAUCAAAUUUCAAACACUUUGAACAGUUACAGCCCCCAGAUUAUAUUCACAACGCAGACAUAAAUCAAAGCAGAACUAUCUUAUUUAGAUAAUACUCAUUCUUAUAGAACCGAACAAAGAUUUCAUUCUACAGUUUAUUACAAAAAGAGGAAUAGAACUAUCUUAGUUUUAAUUCAUCGAGUCCAAUAUAUAAGUCAUAAAAUAUUCAAGAUGAUAACUAAAAGAAUCACUACGCAUUACUUUCUACCUGUUUUGAAAAAAAAAAAAUAGAAAAGCUCAAUGUCUUUCGAAACCUGUAAAAGGCCGGAUUCUCGCUAGAAUUCAUACUGAAGCAAACCUACAACGAAUUCCUCCCCAAAAAAUCAGACAGUAUAUUGAACCAAUUGUUACCUGGAAUAUUUUACAACCAAUUAAAAACGGGCUUAUGAUUUAAAGUAAUUCGGCAUAAGAUGUUUAUUCGGCAAGUCUCAGUCCAUACGUCAAAUCAAAAUAAACCCAAUUACCAAAUCAAAUAUCAGAAUAGAAGCUGGAAAUCAGCACAAUGCCAUAUAUCCAGUAUUCUGACAACAGCCUCAUAUAUAAGACAAACCAGCCAAUGAGUCGCCACCAGAAUCAAAGAACACAUCCGUAACAUUACAAAUCACGACAAAAUAUCAUUAGCGUAUCAGCAUGAAGAAUCCACAGGAUUCAACCUACAGGAUGUAAAAUAUUAAAUUUCCAAAACCUUUUUAAAAUAUAAUAGACUCAUUCUGUAAUCAUUAAUCUCAAACAGCAAUAACAGUACAUAUAAAAACCGAAGAAUAAAAAUACCACAGCAACAUCAACACGCAUAGAAACCCAUAGUAUGUAUAUUCACCCAAGGGAGCUAUGAUCUGUUAUCCGUUCAUCCAAGAAUUUUUAAUUAAUUAUUUUUAUAUUUUGGCCACUGGCAGGGUUCACCACUAAUGAGCCAGGCCCUCCCAUUAAUUUUUUGAUUGCAGUAAGGGCAGUAAUACACUGCGUGACAUUGAAAAUGGAACACCAAGAAAUAGUGGCCAGAAAGUGAUGAAACUCGGCAGACAGAGAGAGACAGGGACGAACAAUAAGUGAUCUUUAUUUCAAAAUGAUAGUCAUAAUACAGAGCGAGAACGGCGUCGGCUUAGUAGCAAGUAGGACCACCGCGGACGGCGAUGCACGCAGCAACACGUCUAGGUAGAGAGUCAAUCAGAGUACGGAUGGCGUCCUGAGGGAUGGCUCUCCAUUCCCUCUCAACCAUUUGCCACAGUUCGUCUUCUGAACGCGGCUGUGGCAAGGCAUGCAAACGGCGUCCAAUGAUGUCCCAGACGUGCUCGAUUGGUGAGAGAUCAGGAGAGUACGGUGGCCAGGGAAGCAUCUGUACAUCUUGCAGAGCUUGUUGGCUAAUGCGAGCAGCGUGCGGUCGGGCGUUAUCCUGCUGAUAAAGGGCAUUGGGUACCCCCUGAAGGUAGGGGAGUGUCACCGGUCGCAGCACAUCAUCAACGUAUCGUUGGGCCGUCAUAGUGCCCUGAAUACGAAGUAAAGGUGACCUGGAAUCAUACGCGAUUGCGCCCCAAACCAUGAUUCCACGUUGUCGCACGGUGGGGCGUUCCACAAUUGCUGCCGGAUUGGACCUUUCUCCACGUCGACGCCACACGCGUACACGGCGACUAUCACUGGACAAGCAGAAACGCGACUCAUCUGAGAACACGACCCUGUGCCAUUCCGUCAUCCACGUCGAUCUAGCCCGGCACCAUUCCAAACGUUGGCGCCUAUUCGGUGGGGUCAAUGGCAGUCUUCUUAGCGGACGGCAUGAGUGCAAGCCAUUAGCAACCAAUCGACGGGAAAUGGUUCUGGUCGAGAUGGAAUGAUCUAGGGUGUCUUGCACAUGUUGCAGGAUGGCGGUACAAGUGGCUUGUGGGGCCGCCACUGCUUGUCGAAGGAUACGUGCUGACGUCACUCUGGUUGCACCGACAUUCCUAUAAAUUGCCACAUUUCCUUGUUCCAACCAUCUUCUCCACAGUCGGUGCACCGUGGACGCACCAAGGUGUGUAUCAGCUGCGAUUUGACGUAUGGACCAACCUGCCCUUUUCAAGUCCGAUCACCAUGCCCCUCGUAAAAGCGUCUGUCUGCUUGAACUGCCUCCGUUUACGAUGACCUGGCAUUCUCUUUUAUUACACGUGUCUUUUGACACAAGAACAAAAUUUCUACAAUGAUUUUCCUUGAAGAAAUAACGACACGAAUACUGUCCUUUCUGCAAGUUCCUUCCCUUAUAUCUUACUCCAUGUGCGCACGAGAGCUGCACAUUUUACAUCAUUUGCAUAACUCGGUUAGGCGCGUCUACCCUGAAAUUUGCAUAAUUUUCUGGCCACUAUUUCUUGGUGUUCCAUUUUCAAUGUCACGCAGUGUAAUUGUUUAAUUUUUAAAAGAAUCAUACGUGUCUAUAAUAGUUUCGAAUUUUCAUGACAGAUGGCGCGCUAAUGCAUUAUAUUAUAUAUGUAUAUCAUUAUAUAUCAUAUAAUUAUCAUUUGGUAUAUAAGUAAGUCAGUUUUUAUGAUAAAUAUUUGAAGUAUGUAAAUUCUUCAAAACCUCUCUAUAUACAAAUUGUAGGUAUUUGCGAAACAAUUGGCCUGGUGAUGGAUUUAACGCUUGUUGUUAUUUUUAUCUUAAUAAAGGAACUUAAAGCAAUUUUAUGCUUGCAUCUGCAAGGUGCCAGAGCCCUAUUUGGUUACUAGCACUUACUGGUAGGUUGGACAUUUGCAAGAAUCUUAUUUUAAGACUAUGGUGAAAUGACCUUUCUCACAUUUAGAAACAUUUUUAUCUGAACUAUAAUCCAAAUUUUACCGUAUCACUUUAAAAUAAUCCAUACCCUAAAUCCAAUUACUACAUAACAAACUGACUUGGUGAUAAUAAGUGUUCCCUGGGCUCCAGCACUAUCAUCAGCGACUUUGAACCCAGUGACGAGAACCCGGAACUCCGCCAAAAAGCCCAAGACAUUCUUCAAUGCCAGAAUCUCCUAAAGACAAUACAGGUUCUCACUCCUUUCCUUUAUCUUGACCUUUAUUUUCAUCUCUCAUCCUGUCUGACAUCGUGUCCAGGCCAUCAAGUGCCUCGAUGUUCCCCCAAGAAAAUGGUAAGGAAGUUAAAUUUAAAUUCUCAAGAAAAGAAAAGAAAUCAUUUUUAUAUUAAAAAGUGUUUUCGUACUUAGCCAGGUCAAAUAAUUCUUGACGCACUAGGCAGCUUGAGGAGUGUUCCCAGACUUAAUGACAAUCACAAAAGUUACUAGUACGGGUUAUCACACAAAAAUGCAAUAUACUAGGGCCUAAAGUAAUAGUAACUAACACACAGAAAAGCGUACACUCAAGAGUACAACAACAGCAAAAAAGCAAAAAAUAAACCUCACGAUUUGCUAUAUAAAAACAAAACAGUAUUUAUCUUUUAUUGUAGCAUUGGUAGGGAUCGGACUGGGGCCACACAGGUAUGCGAGGAGAUCACCAGACACGGAUAAAUCACAAAUUUUUAAACACACUCGCCCCUCGCAUUCCCUUAGCACCCUCUUAUAUACAAACAUGGCCACAUUCGUCCAAUGAGAAGGCGUGAAACAUUGAUUGGUUCAUUAACAUACGAAAGCAACCUUCUUCCCGCUAAAAACUGAUAAGAUAUAACAGCAAAUGUUUGUCAAUAUAAUUUGACAACAAAAGCAGACAUAUUUUUACCCCAGAGAAAAACAAGAUGACGUUUUCUUUAUUUUAUAUAUUCUCUAACCUUCUUUAUUUUUCCAUGUAAUAUAUUAAUUGCAAUAACUGGAACCUAUUGUCAUUUGUUACUAAUAAGUCGAUAGUGUUCGCCAUUAGAUGAAAUACCAAUAUGUUCUAAGAGAGUCCACACAAGCAGCCAGAGAUGUGCAGUUGUCGAGGUUGACAGUCAGCAACCCCAACAGUCCGGCAGUAGACGAGGACAACUUUGAGAAAGAAUCCGAGAUCCUGCAGGCCGACCUGCACCGCCAGCACAGAGCUGGACCAGGAUUUGAAGAUGAAGGAGAAGUUUGUCUCCCUGCAGGAGUAUGUGACCACGGUCGUUGAGUACCAGGUUUGUUGUUUGUGACAAUGUCACCUACUGUAGUACAUGUCAUCACUCUAACCUUUGGUCCAUCUUUAAAAAAUAAAUUUCCCCUACCUCACUCAGGUGUGAAAAGACACCUCUCCCAGUAGGACCUCAGGAAAACUGAAGUCCACCCACCUUCUGAUGAGGACCAUAAACCAUGGCAUACAGGCUGGUCUUCUUCUUUCUUAUCUCCAUAAUGAGUGAAGUAGAAUGCGUGUGCCUUCGUCAUUAAGACUGGGAGCACUACUCAGUGGCAGGCUGACUUUGCUCCAAAAUAAAUGGCCGCCUGGAUACAGGCUGUUUAUUUUCAUGAACGUUAUAUUUGUCUAAAUAUGAGCAGAGUAAAUGGUUUAUAUAUUUGUGUUUUUUUUUUUUUUUUUUUUUUGUAAAUGGGAGAGGUAUCCUGAUAAAGUAACUAUAGAAAAUUUUUAAAUUGUAAAAUAUUUUGUAAUAGUGUUUUACUGAUGUGUUGUUACCGAAACAUCACUUGUGGUUCUCCAUGUUUUAAUUUGGUGUGUGUUACAUUUUUGUUUCAGGCACAUAUAAUCUUUGAAUGAUUUUCGCCCAUUUUUGUAUAUUACUCUGGUCUAAACCAGACAAUUUUGAAAUGGAAUGGAAUAAAUCUAAAAUAAAGUAAUAUGACCUAACGAAUAAAUUACACCAGAUGUUUCAGUAACAGUAUUGUUAACCUCUUCAAACAAAAGUACUAAGAAUGUUUACUAAAAAAUGAACUCUGAAAAGAUGCAGGACUUUGGUCUGCUGAUGAUAAUUACACAGUUACUGAAAUGCCGUGAAUAAUUUAUUCAGUUAGAUAUGAGGGCUUAUUACCUCAUGUUUCCGAUCUAUAAUCCAAAUUGUACCUUAUCACUUUGAAAUGAUCUCUAUAUUCACUCCAUCCAUUUACUACAUAACAAACUGACCAGGUAACAACAAUUGUUCACAGUGUUCCAGCACUUCCAUCAGCGACCUCGAAGAUUCUAAAACCCCAGAUGAUAAUCCGAACUCCGCGAAAAAGCCCAAAACAUUGUUUAAUGCCAGAAUAUCCUAAAGAAAAUACAGGUAUUUGUUUCCUCUCUAUCUUGACCUCUAGAUUCAUCUCUCAUCCUGUCUGAUAUCGUGCCCAGGUCAAAAAGUCCCUGAAGAAUUAGGAAUUCUCCAUUUUUUCCCCAAAGCCUAAGAAGACUGUAAGUAAGAUCAAAUUUGAAUUGAUAUACCUUAUAUUUUUCAUUGAACAUUCAAUAAAAAGCAGAAGGGAGGGUAUUGAAGGUUGUGGGCUAUUGGAGUACAAUGUGCGAUUGUGUCCACAGAUCCACAAGGAGGAGCUCUUU
Non-coding RNA from Cordylochernes scorpioides, 9021 nucleotides. The record is from the annotation of a GenBank genome assembly. Lineage: Eukaryota; Metazoa; Arthropoda; Arachnida; Pseudoscorpiones; Chernetidae.